AGUCAUAACAAGGUUUCCGUAGGUGAACCUGCGGAAGGAUCAUUUUUGAUUUGAACCAUUAACACAUUGUGAACCGAGGCUCCGGCCUAAACUUGAAUGUAAUGAAUGUAUAAAACACAAAUAAAAUAUAACUUUUAACAACGGAUCUCUUGGCUCUCGCAUCGAUGAAGAACGCAGAGAAUUGCGAUAAGUAAUGUGAAUUUCAGAACCGUGAAUCAUCGAAUCUUUGAACGCACCUUGCGCCCUCUGGUAUUCCGGAGGGCAUGCCUGUUUGAGUGUCAUGAAUACCUCACCUCCUCGGGUUUCCGAUUAGGUGGAUUUGGGUGCUGCCUUUCGAGGCUCGCCUUAAAAGCAUCAGUGGCUUGAAGACGUGAUACGUUUCGUCGAACGCUGCUUCCAACCUCCCGCAAGGGAUACUCCUAGAGUAAUUCAUGUCUACGACCUCAAAUCAGGUAGGGCUACCCGCUGAACUUAAGCAUAUCAAUAAGCGGAGGAAAAGAAACUAACAAGGAUUCCCCUAGUAACGGCGAGUGAACCGGGAAGAGCUCAAAUUUGUAAUCUGGCGUCCUCCGGGCGUCCGAGUUGUAAUCUAUAGAGGCAUUUUCCGCGCCGGACCGCGUCCAAGUCCCUUGGAACAGGGUAUCAAAGAGGGUGACAAUCCCGUGCUUGAUGCGACGACCGGUGCUAUGUGAUAUGUUCUCAACGAGUCGAGUUGUUUGGGAAUGCAGCUCUAAACGGGUGGUAAAUUCCAUCUAAGGCUAAAUAUUGGCGAGAGACCGAUAGCGAACAAGUACCGUGAGGGAAAGAUGAAAAGCACUCUGGAAGGAGAGUUAAACAGUACGUGAAAUUGUUAAAAGGGAAACGAUUGAAGUCAGUCGUGCGGGCAGUAUUCAGCCGUCUCUGGCGGUGUAUUUGCUGUCCGCGGGUCAACAUCAGUUUGGAUCGGUGGAUAAGGUCAGGAGGAAGGUGGCACCCUCGGGUGUGUUAUAGCCUCCUGUCGGAUACGCUGGUUCAGACUGAGGAACGCAGCUCGCCCUCACGGGCCGGGGUUCGCCCACGUCCGAGCUUAGGAUGUUGACAUAAUGGCUUUAAACGACC
Molecule: ribosomal RNA, 1098 nt
Filed under: uncultured fungus
Lineage: Eukaryota; Fungi
Description: eukaryotic LSU rRNA
Rfam family: Eukaryotic large subunit ribosomal RNA (bases 439-1098)
Source: RNAcentral